This 254-nucleotide ribosomal RNA is filed under the name uncultured bacterium. RNAcentral describes it as "partial 16S ribosomal RNA". It matches the Rfam family "Bacterial small subunit ribosomal RNA", at positions 524 to 776 of the family's 1533-position model. The record is from RNAcentral.
UACGGGGGGGGCAAGCGUUGUUCGGAAUUACUGGGCGUAAAGGGCUCGUAGGCGGUCAACUAAGUCGGACGUGAAAUCCCCAGGCUUAACUUGGGAACUGCGUCCGAUACUGGAUGGCUUGAAUCCGGGAGAGGGAUGCGGAAUUCCAGGUGUAGCGGUGAAAUGCGUAGAUAUCUGGAGGAACACCGGUGGCGAAGGCGGCAUCCUGGACCGGUAUUGACGCUGAGUGAGCGAAAGCCAGGGGAGCAAACGGG